This 495-nucleotide ribosomal RNA is filed under the name uncultured bacterium. Its description in RNAcentral is "partial 16S ribosomal RNA". It matches the Rfam family "Bacterial small subunit ribosomal RNA", at positions 30 to 507 of the family's 1533-position model. The record is from RNAcentral.
UGAACGCUGGCGGCGUGCCUAAUACAUGCAAGUCGAGCGAACAGAUGAGGAGCUUGCUCCUCUGACGUUAGCGGCGGACGGGUGAGUAACACGUGGAUAACCUACCUAUAAGACUGGGAUAACUUCGGGAAACCGGAGCUAAUACCGGAUAAUAUAUUGAACCGCAUGGUUCAAUAGUGAAAGACGGUUUUGCUGUCACUUGUAGAUGGAUCCGCGCCGCAUUAGCUAGUUGGUAAGGUAAAGGCUUACCAAGGCAACGAUGCGUAGCCGACCUGAGAGGGUGAUCGGCCACACUGGAACUGAGACACGGUCCAGACUCCUACGGGAGGCAGCAGUAGGGAAUCUUCCGCAAUGGGCGAAAGCCUGACGGAGCAACGCCGCGUGAGUGAUGAAGGUCUUCGGAUCGUAAAACUCUGUUAUUAGGGAAGAACAAAUGUGUAAGUAACUAUGCACGUCUUGACGGUACCUAAUCAGAAAGCCACGGCUAACUACGUG